CCUACGGGGUGCAGCAGUGAGGAAUAUUGGUCAAUGGACGAGAGUCUGAACCAGCCAAGUAGCGUGAAGGAUGACUGCCCUAUGGGUUGUAAACUUCUUUUAUAUGGGAAUAAAAUGUUCCACGUGUGGGAUUUUGUAUGUACCAUAUGAAUAAGGAUCGGCUAACUCCGUGCCAGCAGCCGCGGUAAUACGGAGGAUCCGAGCGUUAUCCGGAUUUAUUGGGUUUAAAGGGAGCGUAGGUGGAUUGUUAAGUCAGUUGUGAAAGUUUGCGGCUCAACCGUAAAAUUGCAGUUGAAACUGGCAGUCUGGAGUACAGUAGAGGUGGGCGGAAUUCGUGGUGUAGCGGUGAAAUGCUUAGAUAUCACGAAGAACUCCGAUUGCGAAGGCAGCUCACUGGACUGCAACUGACACUGAGGCUCGAAAGUGUGGGUAUCAAACAGGAUGAGAUACCCGGGUAGUC
This 460-nucleotide ribosomal RNA is filed under the name uncultured bacterium. Its description in RNAcentral is "partial 16S ribosomal RNA". It matches the Rfam family "Bacterial small subunit ribosomal RNA", at positions 338 to 795 of the family's 1533-position model. The record is from RNAcentral.